Molecule: long non-coding RNA, 1029 nt
Organism: Salvia miltiorrhiza (redroot sage)
Lineage: Eukaryota; Viridiplantae; Streptophyta; Magnoliopsida; Lamiales; Lamiaceae
Exons: 2
Source: RefSeq, a predicted model, not a curated record
AUCAAAAUUCUCUCACAUCUCACCUCUCACCUCUACCUCUCGCCCCUCUCUCUCUCUCUCUCCCUCAUCUCUCCCUCAUCUCUCUUUCCUCCAUGAACCUCCAUUAGAGAGACCUUGGAAGCUCCUUCACUAAAUCAAGCCCUAAAUACUUUCUACACUUGAAUUCAAAGAGAUUAGUAGAGUUUAAGCUUGAAGCUAGAGAGAGGAAAAUUUGUGCUUUUAUCUUGUCUUGAACACGAGCGGAGUGAAGAAGUAAGUUGUCUCCUUUCUAUCUAGAGUUUGAGCGAAGACCUUCAGGUGAGCAAUAUUUUGAGUAUACAUAUAUCAUACGAGCUUUCUAAACUGUUUUGAUGAUGUUAUGAGUUUGACGAAUAAUUUGAGUUAAACAAUGUUUUAAACUAUUGACUUUCCAAGUUUUGAUGAUGUUGAGCAUGUAUAUUACCCUCUACUGAUGAGAUGAGACAAAUUCGGUCCUGCCAUAAGCGGGAUUUUGUGCACAGAGGUGACUGCGAGCCGUCUUCGGGUCGGCUGGUCACGGUACUUGAGAGGGAGGCCUACUUCUAGUACCUUUGAUGAUGAUGAGUUGUAGAUGUGGUACAUACGUGAUGAGUAUUUUGUUAGCGCUAUCAUUUAUUUAUGAUGUUUAUGAUUUAAAACUGCUUGCACAGGUUCUUUUACUUUUAAUCCCUGUGUAUUGCUGAGAUGUGGCAAGUUCAAUCUAUAGCUCUAAGAGCAGCUUUCUUGUUUUUCGGCGUUUGCCCGCUGAGUAUUCUGUACUCACGCCCUGCAUGUAUUUCUAAAUGUGCAGGAUAAACAUGGAGCGAGAUUGGUCUGGUGCUGGUGGGGGAGUAGUUUCGUUUGAAGUAUUUACUUUAUCGCUUUUCCUUUGUGUUGAUAAAGUCUUGAUGUGGAGUUACUUUGUUUUUGAAUCAAGCAAUCUACUCUCGGUUAUGUGUCUUCAUACAUAUAAUCGGUUCACCUUUUGCUGCGAUACUCUGAAUAAUAUGUUUCCUUGUGAAUAUUUAGAUA